GUGGGGAAUCUUGCGCAAUGGGCGAAAGCCUGACGCAGCGACGCCGCGUGGGUGAUGAAGGCCUUCGGGUUGUAAAGCCCUGUGGGGAGGGACGAAUAACGACGACUUAAUACGUCGUCAGAUGACGGUACCUCCUUAGCAAGCACCGGCUAACUCUGUGCCAGCAGCCGCGGUAAGACAGAGGGUGCAAACGUUGUUCGGAAUUACUGGGCGUAAAGCGCGUGUAGGCGGUCUGGUAAGUCGGGUGUGAAAGCCCGGGGCUCAACCCCGGAAGUGCAUUCGAUACUACCAAACUAGAGUACUGGAGAGGAUGGUGGAACUCUCGGUGUAGAGGUGAAAUUCGUAGAUAUCGAGAAGAACACCGGUGGCGAAGGCGGCCAUCUGGACAGAUACUGACGCUGAGACGCGAAAGCGUGGGGAGCAAACAGGAUUAGAUACCCCUGUAGUCC
This 449-nucleotide ribosomal RNA is filed under the name uncultured bacterium. RNAcentral's name for it is "bacterial SSU rRNA". It matches the Rfam family "Bacterial small subunit ribosomal RNA", at positions 354 to 796 of the family's 1533-position model. The record is from RNAcentral.